GACGAACGCUGGCGGCGUGCUUAACACAUGCAAGUCGAACGGAAAGGCCCUGCUUUUGUGGGUUGCUCGAGUGGCGAACGCGUGAGUAACACGUGAGUAUCCUGCCCUUGACUUUGGGAUAACUUCAGGAAACUGGGGCUAAUACCGGAUAGGAGCUCCUGCUGCAUGGUGGGGGUUGGAAAGUUUCGGCGGUUGUGGAUGGACUCGCGGCUUAUCAGCUUGUUUGUGUGGUAGUGGCUUACCAAGGCUUUGACGGGUAGCCGGCCUGAGAGGGUGACCGGCCACAUUGGGACUGAGAUACGGACCAGACUCCUACGGGAGGCAGCAGUGGGGAAUAUUGCACAAUGGGCGGAAGCCUGAUGCAGCAACGCCGCGUGCGGGAUGACGGCCUUCGGGUUGUAAACCGCUUUGGCAUGUAACGAAGCGUGAGUGACGGUAAUGGGUAAAGAAGCACCGGCUAACUACGUG
Molecule: ribosomal RNA, 468 nt
Filed under: uncultured bacterium
Lineage: Bacteria
Description: partial 16S ribosomal RNA
Rfam family: Bacterial small subunit ribosomal RNA
Source: RNAcentral